GAGGGUAUAGCUCAAGUGGUAGAGUGUAUGCUUAGCAUGCAAGAGGUCCUGGGUUCAAUCCCUGGUACCUCCC
This 73-nucleotide transfer RNA is filed under the name Camelus bactrianus (Bactrian camel). It matches the Rfam family "tRNA". From Rfam's summary of the family: Transfer RNA (tRNA) molecules are approximately 80 nucleotides in length. Their secondary structure includes four short double-helical elements and three loops (D, anti-codon, and T loops). The record is from Rfam by way of RNAcentral. RNAcentral also lists the same sequence under 3 other names. Lineage: Eukaryota; Metazoa; Chordata; Mammalia; Artiodactyla; Camelidae.